RNAcentral lists this ribosomal RNA (180 nucleotides) under uncultured Azospira sp. Its description in RNAcentral is "partial 16S ribosomal RNA". It matches the Rfam family "Bacterial small subunit ribosomal RNA", at positions 335 to 507 of the family's 1533-position model. Lineage: Bacteria; Pseudomonadati; Pseudomonadota; Betaproteobacteria; Rhodocyclales; Rhodocyclaceae. The record is from RNAcentral.
ACUCCUACGGGAGGCAGCAGUGGGGAAUUUUGGACAAUGGGGGCAACCCUGAUCCAGCCAUGCCGCGUGAGUGAAGAAGGCCUUCGGGUUGUAAAGCUCUUUCGGCGGGGAAGAAAUGGCAACGGCUAAUAUCCGUUGUUGAUGACGGUACCCGCAUAAGAAGCACCGGCUAACUACGUG